RNAcentral lists this unclassified non-coding RNA (378 nucleotides) under plant metagenome. RNAcentral's name for it is "partial contains 5.8S ribosomal RNA, internal transcribed spacer 2, and large subunit ribosomal RNA". The stretch from base 1 to 105 matches the Rfam family "5.8S ribosomal RNA", at positions 50 to 154 of the family's 154-position model. The record is from RNAcentral.
GAAAUGCGAUAAGUAAUGUGAAUUGCAGAAUUCAGUGAAUCAUCGAAUCUUUGAACGCACCUUGCGCUCCUUGGUAUUCCUUGGAGCAUGCCUGUUUGAGUAUCAUGAAAUCUUCAAAGUAAAUCUUUUGUUAACUCAAUUGGUUUCUACUUUGGUAUUGGAGGUCUUUGCAGCUUCACACCUGCUCCUCUUUGUUCAUUAGCUGGAUCUCAGUGUUAUGCUUGGUUCCACUCGGCGUGAUAAGUUAUCUAUCGCUGAGGACACUGUAAAAGGUGGCCAAGGUAAAUGCAGAUGUACCGCUUCUAAUAGUCCAUUGACUUGGACAAUACUUUUAUGAUCUGAUCUCAAAUCAGGUAGGACUACCCGCUGAACUUAAGC